RNAcentral lists this ribosomal RNA (323 nucleotides) under uncultured bacterium. RNAcentral describes it as "bacterial SSU rRNA". It matches the Rfam family "Bacterial small subunit ribosomal RNA", at positions 405 to 712 of the family's 1533-position model. The record is from RNAcentral.
AGGACUGAAUGCCCUAUGGGUUGUAAACUGCUUUUAUAUAACGAAGAAACCCUACGGGACGGUGUCCGAGGCUGACGGUAGUAUAUGAAUAAGGACCGGCUAACUCCGUGCCAGCAGCCGCGGUAAUACGGAGGGUCCAAGCGUUAUCCGGAUUUAUUGGGUUUAAAGGGUUCGUAGGCGGGGUAUUAAUUCAUGUCAGUGGUGAAAGCCCACAGGCUCAACUCUGUGGAACUGCCAUUGAUACUGGUACUCUUGAGUAUAGUAGAAGUUAGCGGAAUGUGUCAUGUAGCGGUGAAAUGCUUAGAUAUGACCCAGAACACCGA